ACGCUGGCGGCAGGCUUAACACAUGCAAGUCGAGCGCGUAGCAAUACGAGCGGCAGACGGGUGAGUAACGCGUGGGAAUCUACCCAACCCUACGGAAUAACGCAUGGAAACGUGUGCUAAUACCGUAUACGCCCUACGGGGGAAAGAUUUAUCGGGGUAUGAUGAGCCCGCGUUGGAUUAGCUAGUUGGUGGGGUAAAGGCCUACCAAGGCGACGAUCCAUAGCUGGUCUGAGAGGAUGAUCAGCCACAUUGGGACUGAGACACGGCCCAAACUCCUACGGGAGGCAGCAGUGGGGAAUAUUGGACAAUGGGCGAAAGCCUGAUCCAGCAAUGCCGCGUGAGUGAUGAAGGCCUUAGGGUUGUAAAGCUCUUUUACCCGAGAUGAUAAUGACAGUAUCGGGAGAAUAAGCUCCGGCUAACUCCGUG
RNAcentral lists this ribosomal RNA (426 nucleotides) under uncultured bacterium. RNAcentral describes it as "bacterial SSU rRNA". It matches the Rfam family "Bacterial small subunit ribosomal RNA", at positions 33 to 507 of the family's 1533-position model. The record is from RNAcentral.